This 477-nucleotide ribosomal RNA is filed under the name uncultured bacterium. RNAcentral describes it as "partial 16S ribosomal RNA". It matches the Rfam family "Bacterial small subunit ribosomal RNA", at positions 30 to 507 of the family's 1533-position model. The record is from RNAcentral.
AUUGAACGCUGGCGGCAUGCCUUACACAUGCAAGUCGAACGGUAACAGGUUAAGCUGUCGAGUGUCCAACGGGUGAGUAAUGUAUCGGAACGUGCUCAGUCGUGGUGUAUAACUGCGCGGAAGAUCAGGUAAUACCGCAUACGAUCUGAGGGCGUAAGCGGGGCGGCUCAAAACCGCGCGUCAUCGGAGCGUCCGAUAUCAGAUUAGGUAGUUGGUGAGGUAAAGGCUCACCAAGCCGACGAUCUGUAGCUGGUCUGAGAGGACGACCAGCCACACUGGGACUGAGACACGGCCCAGACUCCUACGGGAGGCAGCAGUGGGGAAUUUUGGACAAUGGGCGCAAGCCUGAUCCAGCCAUGCCGCGUGCGGGAAGAAGGCCUUCGGGUUGUAAACCGCUUUUGUCAGGGAAGAAAAGGUUCUGGCUAAUACCUGGGACUCAUGACGGUACCUGAAGAAUAAGCACCGGCUAACUACGUG